Molecule: ribosomal RNA, 253 nt
Filed under: uncultured bacterium
Lineage: Bacteria
Description: partial 16S ribosomal RNA
Rfam family: Bacterial small subunit ribosomal RNA
Source: RNAcentral
UACGUAGGGUGCGAGCGUUGUCCGGAAUUACUGGGCGUAAAGAGCUCGUAGGUGGUUUGUCGCGUUGUUCGUGAAAACCGGGGGCUUAACCCUCGGCGUGCGGGCGAUACGGGCAGACUUGAGUACUGCAGGGGAGACUGGAAUUCCUGGUGUAGCGGUGGAAUGCGCAGAUAUCAGGAGGAACACCGGUGGCGAAGGCGGGUCUCUGGGCCGAUACUGACACUGAGGAGCGAAAGCGUGGGGAGCGAACAGG